UGACCCCAGGUCAGGCGGGAUUACCCGCUGAGUUUA
This 36-nucleotide ribosomal RNA is filed under the name Apinagia longifolia. Its description in RNAcentral is "partial 26S ribosomal RNA". The record is from RNAcentral. Lineage: Eukaryota; Viridiplantae; Streptophyta; Magnoliopsida; Malpighiales; Podostemaceae. RNAcentral also lists the same sequence under 1 other name.